AUUGAACGCUGGCGGCAGGCCUAACACAUGCAAGUCGAACGGUAACAGGAAGCAGCUUGCUGCUUUGCUGACGAGUGGCGGACGGGUGAGUAAUGUCUGGGAAACUGCCCGAUGGAGGGGGAUAACUACUGGAAACGGUAGCUAAUACCGCAUAACGUCGCAAGACCAAAGAGGGGGACCUUAGGGCCUCUUGCCAUCGGAUGUGCCCAGAUGGGAUUAGCUAGUAGGUGGGGUAACGGCUCACCUAGGCGACGAUCCCUAGCUGGUCUGAGAGGAUGACCAGCCACACUGGAACUGAGACACGGUCCAGACUCCUACGGGAGGCAGCAGUGGGGAAUAUUGCACAAUGGGCGCAAGCCUGAUGCAGCCAUGCCGCGUGUAUGAAGAAGGCCUUCGGGUUGUAAAGUACUUUCAGCGGGGAGGAAGGGAGUAAAGUUAAUACCUUUGCUCAUUGACGUUACCCGCAGAAGAAGCAUCGGCUAACUCCGUG
RNAcentral lists this ribosomal RNA (490 nucleotides) under uncultured bacterium. Its description in RNAcentral is "partial 16S ribosomal RNA". It matches the Rfam family "Bacterial small subunit ribosomal RNA", at positions 30 to 507 of the family's 1533-position model. The record is from RNAcentral.